GAUGAACGCUGGCGGCGUGCCUAAUACAUGCAAGUCGAGCGAACGGACGAGAAGCUUGCUUCUCUGAUGUUAGCGGCGGACGGGUGAGUAACACGUGGAUAACCUACCUAUAAGACUGGGAUAACUUCGGGAAACCGGAGCUAAUACCGGAUAAUAUUUUGAACCGCAUGGUUCAAAAGUGAAAGACGGUCUUGCUGUCACUUAUAGAUGGAUCCGCGCUGCAUUAGCUAGUUGGUAAGGUAACGGCUUACCAAGGCAACGAUGCAUAGCCGACCUGAGAGGGUGAUCGGCCACACUGGAACUGAGACACGGUCCAGACUCCUACGGGAGGCAGCAGUAGGGAAUCUUCCGCAAUGGGCGAAAGCCUGACGGAGCAACGCCGCGUGAGUGAUGAAGGUCUUCGGAUCGUAAAACUCUGUUAUUAGGGAAGAACAUAUGUGUAAGUAACUGUGCGCAUCUUGACGGUACCUAAUCAGAAAGCCACGGCUAACUACAUG
RNAcentral lists this ribosomal RNA (497 nucleotides) under uncultured bacterium. RNAcentral describes it as "partial 16S ribosomal RNA". It matches the Rfam family "Bacterial small subunit ribosomal RNA", at positions 28 to 507 of the family's 1533-position model. The record is from RNAcentral.